Molecule: long non-coding RNA, 700 nt
Filed under: Pan troglodytes (chimpanzee)
Lineage: Eukaryota; Metazoa; Chordata; Mammalia; Primates; Hominidae
Description: long non-coding RNA NONPTRT001071
Source: RNAcentral
UCAAGGGCCAGCGUUGGUUUCUCGUCUGGACUACUGUCUGCAAACUGCUGACUUACAAAAUGGUAAAAGCCUCCUAACAAUGCGUGAAUCUACAGGAUGUCAAACAGCAACUCUCAGGUGAACCACUCAGUCAGUGGAUCUGGUGUUAACCAUACAAUGCCAAAUGUCUUCUGGUGAUCUGAAGACAUCAGGGGCUUUUCUAUCAUGUAGACCAAACAUGAUUCAGAACUCCAGAGCCAGAAGGAUGAUAUCUCAACAAAUGACAGAGCCCAAUUCAUUGACUCCAAUAAGAACAACACGCGUCUAUUAUAACUUUACAAGAUGGAAAGUACAUACAGAAAAAUUUUGAAGUUUUAAGAGUUAAAUCUUAUAGUCCUAUAUGAAAGAUUGGAUCGGCAAAUUCAAAUAUUCAUAUCUUAUUGGGCUCUAUUUCCUGUAUUUUUCUCACAUGCCACUCUUUUAAAAUAGGUAUCUAUGUAUGUGUCAACAACCUUUGAAUAAGCCAGAGCAACUAGGCAAGAAAAAAAAAAAAAAGAACAGCUAAACUGGAAAGAAGGAAGUCAAAUUAUCCCUGUUUGUAGAAGACAUGGUCAUAUAUAUAGAAAAACCUAAACAUUCUACCAAAAAAACUCUUAGAAUUGAUCAACAAAUUCAGUAAAUUUUCAGGAUACAAAAUUGACAUGAAAAAUCAGUAGCAUUU